UGCUAUUUUGUCUGGGCUUAGACAUGCAAGUUAUUUGCCGUCGUAAGAUAGGUGAAGGCGAACUGCUCAGUAACACGUAGCUAACCUAACCUUGGGUCAGGGAUAACCUCGGGAAACUGAGGCUAAUACCUGAUAGAAGUUUAUUGUUGGAAGACAUUUACUUUGAAAUUCGGGCCUAAGGAUGGGGCUGCGGCUGAUUAGGUUGUUGGUGGGUAAUUGCCUACCAAGCCGAUGAUCGGUAAGGGCUCUUAGCGGAGUUGCCCUGAGAAGGAAUCUGAGACACUAUUCCUAGCUCUACGGAGUGCAGCAGUCGCGAAUUUUUUACAAUGCACGAAAGUGUGAUAAAGCAAACCAAAGUGCUUCACGCACGUGAAGCUUUUUCUUGUUUUAAAAAGACAGGAGAAUAAGGACCGGGCAAGACUGUGCCAGCCGCCGCGGUAAUACUAGCGGUCCAAGUAGCAUCCAACUUUAUUGGGUCUAAAACAUCCGUAGCUUGUCAAUUAAGUUUCUUGUGAAAUCCUAUGUCUCAAGCAUGGGGCUUGCAAGAAAUACUGGUUGACUAGAGACCGGUAGAUGUAAGGAGUACGGCCGAGGUAACGGUUAAAUGUGUUAAUCUUGGUUGGACUAACAAUGAGCGAAGGCACCUUACAAGGACGGAUCUGACAGUGAGGGAUGAAGGCCAGGGGCGCAAAACGGAUUGGAUACCCGUGUAGUCCUGGCAGUAAACACUGCUCACUAAACAUCGGGACCUCUUCGGGAGGUUUCGGUGCUGAAGCGAAGGCGAAGAGUGAGCUACCUGGGAAGUAUAGUCGCAAGAUCGAAACUUAAAGGAAUUGGCGGGGAGACAUACAACGAGUGACGCGUGCGGUUCAAUUAGAUUCCACACCGUGAACCUCACCAGGAGCGACAGCAGGAUGAAGGUCAGUCUAAAGGGCUUACCUGACACGCUGAGCGGAGAUGCAUGGCCGACGACAGCCUGUGCUGUGAAGUGACCUGUUAAAUCAGGUAACAGGCGAGACCCGUGUGUAUAAUUACUACUGAAAAGAGUACAUUAUACAGACUGCCUUGGUAACAAGGAGGAAGGUGCGGGCUACGUCAGGUGAGUACAUCCCUAAUCCCCUGGGCUACACGCGCGCGGCAAUGGUAGAUUCAAUGAGAUGCAACUCCGAAAGGAGAAGCUAAUCCCCUAAUGUCUAUCUCAGUACAGAUUGAGGGUUGCAACCCACCCUCAUGACGAUGGAAUUCGUAGUAAUCGGAUAUUAGCACUGUCCGGUGAAUGCGUCCCUGUCUCUUGCACACACCGCCCGUCAAACCAACCGAGUUAUGUAGGGUUGAAGUUCGUAUGAAAAGAAAUUUUGCAUGACAAGGUAGGUUAAGUCGUCACAAGGU
This 1389-nucleotide ribosomal RNA is filed under the name metagenome. Its description in RNAcentral is "bacterial SSU rRNA". It matches the Rfam family "Archaeal small subunit ribosomal RNA". The record is from RNAcentral.